Molecule: ribosomal RNA, 740 nt
Filed under: Bacillus sp. MZ26123K
Lineage: Bacteria; Bacillati; Bacillota; Bacilli; Caryophanales; Bacillaceae
Description: bacterial SSU rRNA
Rfam family: Bacterial small subunit ribosomal RNA
Source: RNAcentral
GUCGAGCGAAUCGAUGGGAGCUUGCUCCCUGAGAUUAGUGGCGGACGGGUGAGUAACACGUGGGCAACCUGCCUAUAAGACUGGGAUAACUUUGGGAAACUGGAGCUAAUACUGGAUACGUUCUUUUCUCGCAUGAGAGAAGAUGGAAAGACGGUUUACGCUGUCACUUAUAGAUGGGCCUGCGGCGCAUUAGCUAGUUGGUGAGGUAAUGGCUCACUAAGGCGACGAUGCGUAGCCGACCUGAGAGGGUGAUCGGCCACACUGGGACUGAGACACGGCCCAGACUCCUAUGGGAGGCAGCAGUAGGGAAUCUUCUGCAAUGGACGAAAGUCUGACGGAGCAACGCUGCGUGAACGAAGAAGGCCUUUGGGUCGUAAAGUUCUGUUGUUAGGGAAGAACAAGUACUAGAGUAACUGCUGGUACCUUGACGGUACCUAACUAGAAAGCUAUGGCUAACUACGUGCUAGCAGCUGCGGUAAUACGUAGGUGGCAAGCGUUGUCUGGAAUUAUUGGGCGUAAAGCGCGCGCAGGUGGUUCCUUAAGUCUGAUGUGAAAGCCUACGGCUCAACUGUGGAGGGUCAUUGGAAACUGGGGAACUUGAGUGCAGAAGAGGAAAGUGGAAUUCCAAGUGUAGCGGUGAAAUGCGUAGAGAUUUGGAGGAACACUAGUGGCGAAGGCGACUUUCUGGUCUGUAACUGACACUGAGGCGCGAAAGCGUGGGGAGCAAACAGGAUUAGAUA